AAAGUACUCCCUCUGUCCCAAAAUUCUUGUCUUAGAUUUGUCUAGAUACAGAUGUAUCAAGUCACAUUUUAGUAUUAGAUACAUCCGUAUCUAGACAAAUCUAAGACAAGAAAUUUGGGACAGAGGGAGUAGUUG
Non-coding RNA from Triticum aestivum (bread wheat), 135 nucleotides. The record is from Rfam. NCBI's taxonomy places the organism in Eukaryota, Viridiplantae, Streptophyta, Magnoliopsida, Poales, Poaceae.